AGAGUUUGAUCAUGGCUCAGGACGAACGCUGGCGGCGUGCUUAACACAUGCAAGUCGAGCGGAAAGGCCCUUCGGGGUACUCGAGCGGCGAACGGGUGAGUAACACGUGAGUAACCUGCCCUGGACUUUGGGAUAACCCUCGGAAACGGGGGCUAAUACCGGAUACGACACAGUCUCGCAUGGGAUCUGUGUGGAAAGUUUUUCGGUCUGGGAUGGGCUCGCGGCCUAUCAGCUUGUUGGUGGGGUGAUGGCCUACCAAGGCGACGACGGGUAGCCGGCCUGAGAGGGCGACCGGCCACACUGGGACUGAGACACGGCCCAGACUCCUACGGGAGGCAGCAGUGGGGAAUAUUGCACAAUGGGCGGAAGCCUGAUGCAGCGACGCCGCGUGAGGGAUGACGGCCUUCGGGUUGUAAACCUCUUUCAGCAGGGACGAAGCGCAAGUGACGGUACCUGCAGAAGAAGCGCCGGCCAACUACGUGCCAGCAGCCGCGGUAAGACGUAGGGCGCGAGCGUUGUCCGGAUUUAUUGGGCGUAAAGAGCUCGUAGGCGGCUUGUCGCGUCGACCGUGAAAACUUGGGGCUCAACCCCAAGCCUGCGGUCGAUACGGGCAGGCUAGAGUUCGGUAGGGGAGACUGGAAUUCCUGGUGUAGCGGUGAAAUGCGCAGAUAUCAGGAGGAACACCGAUGGCGAAGGCAGGUCUCUGGGCCGAUACUGACGCUGAGGAGCGAAAGCGUGGGGAGCGAACAGGAUUAGAUACCCUAGUAGUCC
Molecule: ribosomal RNA, 771 nt
Filed under: uncultured bacterium
Lineage: Bacteria
Description: bacterial SSU rRNA
Rfam family: Bacterial small subunit ribosomal RNA
Source: RNAcentral